Molecule: long non-coding RNA, 301 nt
Organism: Hyalella azteca
Lineage: Eukaryota; Metazoa; Arthropoda; Malacostraca; Amphipoda; Hyalellidae
Exons: 3
Source: RefSeq, a predicted model, not a curated record
CAACGAUGAUUGCGGCGACUACAGUGACGAAAUAAACUGUAACUGCACUUCAGAGCAAUUCAAGUGCAAUAAUGGCGUCUGCAAAGAGCAAUGGUUAGUGUGUGAUGGCAACGACGACUGCGGCGACAACAGCGACGAGCUAAACUGCAGCUGCAGUUCGUGGCAGUUCGAGUGCAAGGCCGACGGGCGCUGCCUGCCUUCCGUCGUGGUGUGCGACGGUGAGGCAGACUGCGAGGAUCACAGCGAUGAACAAAACUGUACUGAUGAAUCCCUUGAAAACUUUCUUCAGAAACAAGUCUAG